AACCAGCACCUCAAGUGGUCAGGAUAAUUAUUGGGCCUAAAGCAUCCGUAGCCAGCUCUGUAAGUUUUCGGUUAAAUCUAUGCGCUCAACGUAUGGGCUGCCGAAAAUACUGCAGAGCUAGGGAGUGGGAGAGGUAGACGGUACUCGGUAGGAAGGGGUAAAAUCCUUUGAUCUAUCGAUGACCACCUGUUGCGAAGGCGCCACGCUAGAACGGAUCCGACGGUCAGGGACGAAGCCUAGGGGCACGAACCGG
This 253-nucleotide ribosomal RNA is filed under the name uncultured archaeon. RNAcentral's name for it is "partial 16S ribosomal RNA". It matches the Rfam family "Archaeal small subunit ribosomal RNA", at positions 474 to 727 of the family's 1478-position model. The record is from RNAcentral.